RNAcentral lists this ribosomal RNA (367 nucleotides) under uncultured bacterium. RNAcentral describes it as "bacterial SSU rRNA". It matches the Rfam family "Bacterial small subunit ribosomal RNA", at positions 274 to 638 of the family's 1533-position model. The record is from RNAcentral.
CUACGAUGGAUAGGGGUUCUGAGAGGAAGGUCCCCCACAUUGGAACUGAGACACGGUCCAAACUCCUACGGGAGGCAGCAGUGAGGAAUAUUGGUCAAUGGACGUAAGUCUGAACCAGCCAACUAGCGUGAAGGAUGACUGCCCUAUGGGUUGUAAACUUCUUUUAUAUGGGAAUAAAGUAUUCCACGUGUGGGAUUUUGUAUGUACCAUAUGAAUAAGGAUCGGCUAACUCCGUGCCAGCAGCCGCGGUAAUACGGAGGAUCCGAGCGUUAUCCGGAUUUAUUGGGUUUAAAGGGAGCGUAGGUGGAUUGUUAAGUCAGUUGUGAAAGUUUGCGGCUCAACCGUAAAAUUGCAGUUGAAACUGGCA